RNAcentral lists this long non-coding RNA (401 nucleotides) under Gallus gallus (chicken). Lineage: Eukaryota; Metazoa; Chordata; Aves; Galliformes; Phasianidae. The record is from RNAcentral.
UGAAGAUGGCAUCCCUGCAGUCGAUGGUUUUCCCUUUGCCGUCCGUCAGCCUGCCCUCAUCGAAGAGCUGCAGCAUGAUGGUGAGCACGUCCGGGUGGGCUUUGUCCACCUCAUCGAAGAGCACCACGGCGUUGGGGCACUGCCGCAGCUUCUUGGUCAGCUGCCCGCCCUCCUCGUGGCCCACGUAGCCCGGGGGGGAGCCGAUGAAUUUGGCCACCUCGUGCCUCUCCUGGAACUCCGACAUGUCCAGCCUGAUGAAACCCUUCUUCACAUCCUUGUGGAUGUACUUGGCCGUCUGCUUGGCCAGCUCCGUUUUACCUAUCCCAGAUGAUCCCAAGAAGAGGAAGACCAGCGGGUGCUCCUCGUCGUACCAGCCGUUCUCCUUCCUCCGAAUAGCUGCC